Molecule: long non-coding RNA, 1219 nt
Organism: Oncorhynchus masou masou (cherry salmon)
Lineage: Eukaryota; Metazoa; Chordata; Actinopteri; Salmoniformes; Salmonidae
Exons: 3
Source: RefSeq, a predicted model, not a curated record
AGACGUUCUUGCGAUGGUGAGAUUUGCUGUUAAGGCUACACACCAAGACACAGUUAAGGAUGACUGAUCCCUUACCCACCUGAAUAUGUCGGGAAAAGGACUGAUAGACAGCGUGGCCACCCUCUCCAAGUUAUCAGGUAGCCAGGUAGCUUAGGACAGGUCUAUUUUGGACGGCCUGUCAGAGCAGGUCCAGGACCUGCGGCUGUGGUCCCAGAGGCGCAACAAACUGGACUGCGAGGCCCUGCAGCAGACCUGGCGCCAGAGGAGGCCCGGGGGCUGCUAACUCUCCAGAGAUGUCAAGUGCCUGCUCACUACUGCCCCCUCACUGUGAGGAAGAUUCCGUGAGUUCUUGUACACCCUUAAAGAAUUGUGUCGCUUGGAUUCCAAUGUGUACACUUGAGAUGAUUUACAUUCCUUGGUCCUCAUAUGAGGCAUCUUUUGAUGACACAGGCUGCAAUAUUUUGUAUGCAUUAUGUAGAUAUACUUAUUUCAGUGUGUAUUUUGGGGUGCAUUUAUACAUGUGUAUGUUUGUCUAUGUUUUGGAAAACCCACAAAAUUAAGUGAAAAUAAUAAUAAUAAUUUCUGCACUGCUUAUCGCCAUGGUGCUUUUUUAUCCAUGCAACUUCCCAACAUUUGCUGACUGAAUGAAGAAAUGGUCAAGCUUACCUCUGGUUUACUUGUUAGUUAACCCACUGACUGGCCUUCUUCUCACUGUUUAUUUUUCCACAAAGGAGGGUGUUCAAGAUACUGUGGGAUGUGCCUAGUCACACAUCAGUGUUAUCACCUCAGUGUAUCACUACAGUGCCUUGCGAAAGUAUUCGGCCCCCUUGAACUUUCCGACCUUUUGCCACAUUUCAGGCUUCAAACAUAAAGAUAUAAAACGGUAUUUUUUUGUGAAGAAUCAACAACAAGUGGGACACAAUCAUGAAGUGAAACGACAUUUAUUGGAUAUUUCAAACUUUUUUUAACAAAUCAAAAACUGAAAUAUUGGGCGUGCAAAAUUAUUCAGCCCCUUUACUUUCAGUGCAGCAAAUUCUCUCCAGAAGUUCAGUGAGGAUCUCUGAAUGAUCCAAUGUUGACCUAAAUGACUAAUGAUGAUAAAUACAAUCCACCUGUGUGUAAUCAAGUCUCCGUAUAAAUGCACCUGCACUGUGAUACUCUCAGAGGUCCGUUAAAAGCGCAGAGAGCAUCAUGAAGAACAAGGAACACACCAGGCAGG